GACGAACGCUGGCGGCGUGCCUAAUACAUGCAAGUCGAGCGAGUAUGCCUUGAAGAUCGGAGUGCUUGCACUCUGUGAAACGAGAUACAGGCUCGCGGCGGACGGGUGUGUAACACGUGGGUAACCUGCCCAAACGGUCGGGAUAACACCUGGAAACAGAUGCUAAUACCGGAUAACAACAGAUGAUGCCUUUCCACUGUUUAAAAGAUGGUUCUGCUAUCACUCUUGGAUGGACCUGCGGUGCAUUAGCUAGUUGGUAGGGUAACGGCCUACCAAGGCGAUGAUGCGUAGCCGAGCUGAGAGACUGAUCGGCCACAUUGGAACUGAGACACGGUCCAAACUCCUACGGGAGGCAGCAGUAGGGAAUCUUCCACAAUGGGCGAAAGUCUGACGGAGCAACGCCGCGUGAGUGAUGAAGGGUUUCGGCUCGUAAAGCUCUGUUGUUGGUGAAGAACGACUGUGGUAGUAACUAAGCUCUGUUUGACGGUAAUCAAUUAGAAAGUCACGGCUAACUACGUG
Molecule: ribosomal RNA, 519 nt
Filed under: uncultured bacterium
Lineage: Bacteria
Description: partial 16S ribosomal RNA
Rfam family: Bacterial small subunit ribosomal RNA
Source: RNAcentral